RNAcentral lists this ribosomal RNA (269 nucleotides) under uncultured Planctomycetales bacterium. Its description in RNAcentral is "partial 16S ribosomal RNA". It matches the Rfam family "Bacterial small subunit ribosomal RNA", at positions 565 to 832 of the family's 1533-position model. Lineage: Bacteria; Pseudomonadati; Planctomycetota; Planctomycetia; Planctomycetales. The record is from RNAcentral.
GAGCACGUAGGUGGGUUUGUAAGUCAGAUGUGAAAGCCUUCUGUUCAACAGAAGAAUUGCAUCUGAAACUGCGAGUCUUGAGUGUAGGAGGGGAGAAUGGAACUUCUGGUGGAGCGGUGAAAUGCGUAGAUAUCAGAAGGAACGCCGGCGGCGAAAGCGAUUCUCUGGCCUAUUACUGACACUCAGUGUGCGAAAGCUAGGGGAGCAAACGGGAUUAGAUACCCCGGUAGUCCUAGCCGUAAACGAUGGGCACUAAGUAGAGGGGUUUU